Sycon ciliatum is the source of this 1291-nucleotide long non-coding RNA. RefSeq lists it as uncharacterized. NCBI's taxonomy places the organism in Eukaryota, Metazoa, Porifera, Calcarea, Leucosolenida, Sycettidae. The transcript is spliced from 2 exons. The record is from RefSeq and is a predicted model, not a curated record.
UACGGAAGGUGGUCGACCGGUCCGCGGCUCCGUAGCCAUACCGGAGAAGACAGUGACACACAGUCCAGCUGUUUGUGUGUUUUUAUCAGCUCACUGUUCUGCAUCAGUGCAUGAGUUUCAUAUCGUCGACUCGACCUUCCUUAGUUCCGCAGCAUUUAAUUGUCUGCUCAGACCAGUGACCGGUGUCAACCUUCAGUCACUCAGUCAGCCGCACCGUGCAGGUUUACUACAGUAGUGUCGCGGCUUUGCGGCUAUCCGUCAUCUGGUCAUCUGGUCAUUCCCAGAGAAAAUCGAUGUAGCUGUUUUCAGGCUAGAAGUAGAAUUGCAGAACAUGCAGCUACGAACGCUGCAUGCUCAGUCCUGCUUGAGAUGUACGUUAGCUGCAUGGAGAGGCAAGUGAGACACAUUCUCGGCUGCUGCUGCUGACUGUGUGGACUGUUUGACGGUGUCCGACCGUAGAUCUACGUCGUUGACGACAAAGCUGACGGAGCGGGUCAAGUUGGACGACGCUGCCGCUGGUGUUCCUUUUGCUGUCUGUGCUCGUCACGAGGACCCGGGAAUUAUUCCCGAACAGCGACCGUCAAUGUAGAAACACAUUCACAGCUGUACGAACUCAGGAUGGACUAGCGAUGAGUUCGGUAGCAUGCCAAUAGUAAGCAGAGUGUCCAAUCGUCCUGCUUUGAUCAUAAUCAUGCUGCAGUGGAAUGUCAUGGACGUGGUACAUGGAUUCGGAGGUGUGAUCCAGUAUGUCAGCUUUCCCGCUGCAUCGUGCCAGGGAGAACGGAGCAGCAGUGGCAGGUCAUGGCUGUGGAGGAGCGAUACAGUGCGUCAGCUUUCCCAUCGUGUCAAGGAGACGGGGAGGGGAGUUGGAGGCAAUGGAUUGCCAUCGAUGAGAGCGGCGUACAGGAGCAGGUCAUCCCAGCAUAGCUAUGUGGAAUCAAACGAGCUCUCUCUUUCUCUCUCUCUCUCUCAUUCUCUCCAUGCUGGUGGACACCACUAGACUGAGCGACCGGAGGCGCAGCCGUGAUCUGCUAACUUAUUCAUGAGGCUGGAUAUCAUCGGGUGCAACAUGUUAACAGUACCGUUCAGCCUAACUUGACGACGUUUCCAUGCCAACACGAAACCUUUUUCUCAACUCGUAUAUUUUACUUCCUCUCAUCUCCAGUAGUAUGAUGUACAUCAUGUGAUCAGUCAUUGUGUGAACAGUAAUCAUGGUAAUAUCUAGUCUUUGAUCACCAUGCAUGUGAGGAGGUAUAGUGCAUGGUGAUCAUUGCCGGUUCCUGCUCUCUCU